This is a long non-coding RNA of Nematostella vectensis (starlet sea anemone), 1162 nucleotides long. RefSeq lists it as uncharacterized. The transcript has 2 exons. The record is from RefSeq and is a predicted model, not a curated record. NCBI's taxonomy places the organism in Eukaryota, Metazoa, Cnidaria, Anthozoa, Actiniaria, Edwardsiidae.
UGUCAGCUUUCUACGAUAAUUACGAGCCCGCGAAUUAAUACCGCUGAAUCUCAAAAUGGUGAACAGAGAACGAACAUUUUUUGACACUUGAGUGAAUGUGUUCCCGCUUGCAGCGGUAUGUAAAGUUAUAUAUAUAUGACGCCAUGUGACGACUGAAGUCCUAUCUCAGAUCGAAGAUGACAGAGGAUCGUGUAACAUUCUCAAAAGUCAGACGCAUUGCUACCAAUAUCCAACCCAAAAGUGGGAGCUACGAGAUCUUCGUGAGGUUGCAGGAUGAGGGGCAAGGCCCUCAUUCAGCUUCUGGAUGCUUUGGCUGCAACUUGAUUUAAUCCUGCAGACGCCCCUGACAACCCAAAUCAACCCAGCAAAUCCUUGGUAUGUGCUUAUGGUUCUCAUGGCGCCCUCACAUGCCAAAAUAGACAUAAAAUCUUGAUUCUUAGCUCAAAACAGCCUUCACUUCACAAGUCUGCCAGUUGGCUUCAGUCACCCAUCUAAGAAAGACUAAGGUUUUUACACCUUUAAGUCACAAAAUAACCUGGGUUUGACCCCUGACCCUCUUGCUUGAGAAGCAAAGCCAGUACCACUCUAGAGCUAUUGACCCAUUCUAAGGGCUGGCUAUACUGGGCGACAUGUCGAGUGCGACAUAUGUACCGUGUGACAUGUUUCCUAGUUUAGCCAGCUUGAAAAACAAAAGCACGCGACAAAUCUUGUAGCAGCGAAAAACAAAUGUUUCUUGACUAAUUUCUCAUGCACUAUAUGUUUUUGGCGGUGGCUAAACUAGGAAACAUUUAGGAGACACCCUAAAUGUCGCGAUCGAGAUGCACUGGAUAAGUGACCCUUCCAAGUUAAGUGUGUGUUGUCAGCUUCCUCCCACCUUUCGCUAGCUACAGCCUUGCAUACAGUUUCCUAUUAUUGUUUUUGCUUGUUUUUGUGUUACAAACUCUAUCAAAUGUUUUUGUUCUAUCAAAAACGUUGACAUAGCUGAUGUAUAAGCUGUAAAUUUACCUUUCGGUUGCUCCAAUGAUUCGUAGUCUUGUGUCCCGUCUGGACGAUCUAACUCUUGGUAAACUGGCGAUGAAAGCCUCUUACUUGGUAGACCAUCUACGUUUGCAUAGUCGUAGUCGUAGUCUUAAAAGUAAAAAAUAAAAAGAUAGCAAACCAG